UGGUAGGGGAGCGUUGUGUACGGGGUGAAACAUGAGCGGAAGCGCGUGUGGACUGUACAGAAGUGAGAAUGCCGGAAUGAGUAGCGCGAUUUAUGUGAGAAUCAUAAAGGCCGAAAGCCUAAGGUUUCUGGAGGAAGGUUCGUCCGCUCCAGGUAAGUCGGGAGCUAAGGUGAGGCCGAGAGGCGUAGCCGAUGCACAUACGGUAGAAAUUCCGUAACCGUCGAAGUAUUUAAGCAAAGGGACACUGAGGAAGUGUAUGACCCGGGCGAUGGUAGCCCCGGGCGAAAGGGACCGAAAUUUAGUAGGGAAGCAUGCAUGGAAACAGGCGAGAAAAGCUUUGUGAAUAUACAAGAUGCCCGUACCGCAAACCGACACAGGUAGGUAGGAUGAGAAUUCUAAGGCCAACGGGAGAAGUGUUGUUAAGGAACUCGGCAAGUUGACCCCGUAACUUCGGGAGAAGGGGUGCUCACGAGAGUGAGCCGCAGAGAAUAGGUCCAGGCGACUGUUUAGCAAAAACACAGCUCUAUGCUAAAUCGGAAGAUGAUGUAUAUGGGGUGACGCCUGCCCGGUGCUGGAAGGUUAAGAGGAGGAGUGAGAGCCCCGAAUCGAAGCCCCAGUAAACGGCGGCCGUAACUAUAACGGUCCUAAGGUAGCGAAAUUCCUUGUCAGGUAAGUUCUGACCCGCACGAAUGGCGUAACGAUCUGGACACUGUCUCAACAGCACGCCCGGCGAAAUUGUAGUACCGGUGAAGAUGCCGGUUACCCGCGACAAGACGGAAAGACCCCAUGGAGCUUCACUGCAGCUUAAUAUUGGAUUUCGGUAUUUCAUGUACAGCAUAGGUGGGAGGCUGAGAAACUAGGACGCCAGUCUUAGCGGAGCCGCCGUUGGGAUACCACUCUUGAAGUGCUGAAAUUCUAACCUGGAGCCAUGAAACUGGCUCGGGGACAUUGUUAGGUGGGCAGUUUGACUGGGGCGGUCGCCUCCAAAAAGGUAACGGAGGCGCUCAAAGGUUGGCUCAGCAUGGAUGGAAACCAUGCAAAAGAGUGUAAACGCAGAAGCCAGCCUAACUGCGAGACGGACAGGUCGAGCAGUAACGAAAGUUGGAGUUAGUGAUCCGGUGGUAUGUGAGUGGAAAUGCCAUCGCUCAACGGAUAAAAGCUACCCUGGGGAUAACAGGCUGAUCUCCCCCAAGAGUCCACAUCGUCGGGGAGGUUUGGCACCUCGAUGUCGGCUCAUCGCAUCCUGGGGCUGUAUUCGGUCCCAAGGGUUUGGCUGUUCGCCAAUUAAAGCGGUACGCGAGCUGGGUUCAGAACGUCGUGAGACAGUUCGGUCCCUAUCUGUCGUGGGCGCAGGAUAUUUGAGUGGAGCUGUCCCUAGUACGAGAGGACCGGGAUGGACGCACCUCUGGUGCACCAGUUGUCACGCCAGUGGCACAGCUGGGCAGCUAAGUGCGGAUCGGAUAAACGCUGAAAGCAUCUAAGCAUGAAGCCG
RNAcentral lists this ribosomal RNA (1492 nucleotides) under Hydrogenoanaerobacterium saccharovorans. RNAcentral describes it as "partial 23S ribosomal RNA". It matches the Rfam family "Bacterial large subunit ribosomal RNA", at positions 1226 to 2795 of the family's 2925-position model. Lineage: Bacteria; Bacillati; Bacillota; Clostridia; Eubacteriales; Oscillospiraceae. The record is from RNAcentral.